AACAAAACAAGAAACAUAUAAAACAUCCAAACAGUAAGAGAGUAAGAGAAUAAAUAUCGGAAAGAAAAAUAAAAGGAAGAAAUAUAAUACAAAAUCAUAACAACAAACAUUAUGACAGGAACGAUCCCCACCCACAUGCUCGCAUAGUUAAGAAUCAAUGAUUUAGUUUAUAUAUGAAGCUUAACAACAUAUCACCUUAAUGUCAACCAAAAGAAAACAACAUCAUAUCUUGAGAAACAAAAUGUACCUUCACACUAGAAAGUAGAAAGUAUCCUCGUAAUGACCUUAAGGCUUACAGAAUCAUCAUUGACAACCACAAUUUGAAUCCUUUGAAAUAGGCCUUGGUUUUCGAAGGCUGUUUCCAUGGAGGGCUAAAAUGAGCUAUGGAGGCUACCAAGAAGAGUGAAAAGAGAGACACCUUUGAGGUGAGGCAACAUGGUGUGGUUUCUUAUAGAUAAAAGAAAGAAGACAGGUGAUAGCAGAUGAAAAAGCAGGAUAGAUGAAAACAAAAGCAAUAAUUUUUUUUAGUAAAAUUUUUGAACUUCUACAAGAUAUCUGUCGUGCACCACUUUAUGUACUUUUUUGAAUGUAUAUGUGCCCUAAUUUGUCAACUUCAUGGAAAAAAAAUCAGAACUCAACAAAAAUAUGUUGUUACCAAAAUAACACAGAGAAAAAAAACAUGAAGGGCAUUGUUGUGAAAAAUGUUGCAAGCAAGGACAUUACAAUUUGGUAGCAGGGUAGUUUGGUCAUUUUGUUAAAUAAUGUAUAGGAUGAAAGUAAUGUCAUAUGAUUAUUUUGUAAAUAUAAAUUUGUUUUGAUAAUUUU
This 825-nucleotide long non-coding RNA is filed under the name Phoenix dactylifera (date palm). RNAcentral describes it as "long non-coding RNA (PDAC_LNC000741)". Lineage: Eukaryota; Viridiplantae; Streptophyta; Magnoliopsida; Arecales; Arecaceae. The record is from RNAcentral.